GUGAAUCAUCGAAUUUUUGAACGCAAAUUGCACUCCCUGGUAUUCCGGGGAGUAUGCCUGUUUGAGGGUCGUUAGAAUAAAAAAUCGAGGCGUCGCUCUUUUUUUUUAAGGGGGAUCGUGGCGGAAUUGAGCCGUCUUUCAAAUGUUACUUCAUUUUUAAUUGGCUUAAAAUUCAUCCAUCCGUUACGAUUAAAUCUUAUUUAAUAUCAAUUUUGAUUAAUAACUCAUGAUUACGUACCAUCUCAUGUA
This 249-nucleotide unclassified non-coding RNA is filed under the name Glomeraceae sp. RNAcentral's name for it is "partial contains 5.8S ribosomal RNA and internal transcribed spacer 2". The stretch from base 1 to 71 matches the Rfam family "5.8S ribosomal RNA", at positions 84 to 154 of the family's 154-position model. The record is from RNAcentral. Lineage: Eukaryota; Fungi; Glomeromycota; Glomeromycetes; Glomerales; Glomeraceae.